AUUGAACGCUGGCGGCAGGCCUAACACAUGCAAGUCGAGCGGUAGAGAGGUGCUUGCAUCUCUUGAGAGCGGCGGACGGGUGAGUAAUGCCUAGGAAUCUGCCUAGUGGUGGGGGAUAACGUUCGGAAACGGACGCUAAUACCGCAUACGUCCUACGGGAGAAAGCGGGGGAUCUUCGGACCUCGCGCCAUUAGAUGAGCCUAGGUCGGAUUAGCUAGUUGGUGAGGUAAUGGCUCACCAAAGGCGACGAUCCGUAACUGGUCUGAGAGGAUGAUCAGUCACACUGGAACUGAGACACGGUCCAGACUCCUACGGGAGGCAGCAGUGGGGAAUAAUUGGACAAUGGGC
This 348-nucleotide ribosomal RNA is filed under the name uncultured bacterium. RNAcentral describes it as "bacterial SSU rRNA". It matches the Rfam family "Bacterial small subunit ribosomal RNA", at positions 30 to 376 of the family's 1533-position model. The record is from RNAcentral.